RNAcentral lists this ribosomal RNA (514 nucleotides) under Ceraeochrysa berlandi. RNAcentral's name for it is "partial 16S ribosomal RNA". It matches the Rfam family "Bacterial large subunit ribosomal RNA", at positions 1825 to 2597 of the family's 2925-position model. Lineage: Eukaryota; Metazoa; Arthropoda; Insecta; Neuroptera; Chrysopidae. The record is from RNAcentral.
GUCUUUAAGUAUAAAAUUUAAAGUCUAACCUGCCCACUGAUUAAAUAUUAAAGGGCCGCGGUAUUUUGACUGUGCAAAGGUAGCAUAAUCAUUUGUCUCUUAAUUGGAGGCUGGAAUGAAUGGUUGAAUGAAAUAUUAACUGUCUCAUUAUUAAAAUAAUAAAAAUUUAGCUUUUAAGUUAAAAGGCUUAAAUUUAAUUAGAGGACGAGAAGACCCUAUAGAUCUUUAUAUUUUUAUAGAAUUUAAAAUAUUGAAUUAAAUUAAUUAAAAAAUUUAAAAAUAUUUUAUUGGGGUGAUAGGAAAAUUAAAUAAACUUUUAUUAAUAAAUAAACAUUAAUUUAUGAAAAAUUGAUCCAUUUUUAAUGAUUAUAAGAUUAAGUUACCUUAGGGAUAACAGCGUAAUUUUUUUAAAGAGUUCAUAUCGAUAAAAAAGAUUGCGACCUCGAUGUUGAAUUAAAGGUUAUUUCUAAAUGCAGAAGUUUAGAGUUUAGGUCUGUUCGACCUUUGAAUCUUU